CGUGCUAAUCUGCGAUAAGCGCCGGUAAGGUGAUAUGAACCGUUAUAACCGGCGAUACCCGAAUGGGGAAACCCAGUGUGAUUCGUCACACUAUCAUUAACUGAAUCCAUAGGUUAAUGAGGCGAACCGGGGGAACUGAAACAUCUAAGUACCCCGAGGAAAAGAAAUCAACCGAGAUUCCCCCAGUAGCGGCGAGCGAACGGGGAGGAGCCCAGAGCCUGAAUCAGCAUGUGUGUUAGUGGAAGCGUCUGGAAAGGCGCGCGAUACAGGGUGACAGCCCCGUACACAAAAGCGCAUGUGCUGUGAGCUCGAUGAGUAGGGCGGGACACGUGGUAUCCUGUCUGAAUAUGGGGGGACCAUCCUCCAAGGCUAAAUACUCCUGACUGACCGAUAGUGAACCAGUACCGUGAGGGAAAGGCGAAAAGAACCCCGGCGAGGGGAGUGAAAAAGAACCUGAAACCGUGUACGUACAAGCAGUGGGAGCACCCUUUGGGGUGUGACUGCGUACCUUUUGU
This 515-nucleotide ribosomal RNA is filed under the name Salmonella enterica subsp. enterica. RNAcentral's name for it is "partial 23S ribosomal RNA". It matches the Rfam family "Bacterial large subunit ribosomal RNA", at positions 57 to 611 of the family's 2925-position model. The record is from RNAcentral. Lineage: Bacteria; Pseudomonadati; Pseudomonadota; Gammaproteobacteria; Enterobacterales; Enterobacteriaceae.